Long non-coding RNA from Exaiptasia diaphana, 887 nucleotides. RefSeq lists it as uncharacterized. The record is from RefSeq and is a predicted model, not a curated record. The transcript is spliced from 2 exons. NCBI's taxonomy places the organism in Eukaryota, Metazoa, Cnidaria, Anthozoa, Actiniaria, Aiptasiidae.
UCUUUUUAGGUAUAAUAAAUGCUGCUGGAGCCUUUUCUGGCAUUGUGCUAGUUCCAUUAUCAGGACAUGUGUUAGCAAAAACUGAAUCAUGGCAAUCAGUGUUCCAUCUCAAUGCAAUCACACUUCUACUAGGAUCAUCAGUUUUCCUAGUGUUUGGUACAGCUAAAAAAAUUAUUUAAUAAAAUAUAUAGUCUUGACGGAUAAUUGGCAUUGGUCCUUGGCAUUCAUAAUGUUUUAGCUCAAACCAAAGUUCUAACCUAGACCCACAUUAUCUUUGAAAAUAAUACUUGUACGGAGCCGAACAGCGAUUUUACUCUGGAACUGGGUAUCGUUUUUAGCAAUUUUACUCUGGAACAGGGUAUCGAUUUCAAUGAAUUUUCUCUGGAACAGGGUCAGGGUUUAAUUCUGGAAUUAUUGAUGCUGGAUAAAAAUUCACUGGUGUAGCUUGCGUGUAGACCGAAUUUUUACCCAGUGAAUAGUGAUAGUACGAUUUUACGGUUUGUGCCUUGUGUCUUACUUAUUACAUCUGACGUAUAGAUGUCCAAGUUCUUACAAAUUGCUUGCAGUUAGACUAUACUAUAACUUUUUCAAUACAACUGAUAUAAGUCAAUGUAUGCUUAUGUUGCUUUCCGUGAAGGUUUUGACUAAGAACCUGUUUACAUGUACAUAGGGUGCCCCUAGUGGUAGGGCCAAAAUCCUCCAGGGAAAAGAAAACAAAAGAGUUAGCCCUACCAGACGUAGGUAUUUCAUGUAAACAGGGUCUAAAAGGUAUGAUUAUAUGUCACUGCGUAGCACUAGAAAAUACAUAGAGGUAGUGUAAAUAUAUAGUCAGCUUAGAAAUGAGGUAUUCUGGGCGAAAAAGUACCUUGGAAAUAAAUUCGCAAAAA